CAGAAAAUAGUUUUAAUUAAAAUAUUAAUUUUGGAGAUUAAUGAUGAAUAAAAAUUUUUCUUUUCUGA
RNAcentral lists this transfer RNA (68 nucleotides) under Oedemera virescens. RNAcentral's name for it is "tRNA-Pro". The record is from RNAcentral. Lineage: Eukaryota; Metazoa; Arthropoda; Insecta; Coleoptera; Oedemeridae.